RNAcentral lists this ribosomal RNA (222 nucleotides) under uncultured bacterium. RNAcentral describes it as "partial 16S ribosomal RNA". It matches the Rfam family "Bacterial small subunit ribosomal RNA", at positions 109 to 334 of the family's 1533-position model. The record is from RNAcentral.
AGUAAUGCUUGGGAAUCUAGCUUAUGGAGGGGGAUAACUACGGGAAACUGUAGCUAAUACCGCGUAGUAUCAAGAGAUGAAAGUGUGGGACCUUCGGGCCACAUGCCAUAGGAUGAGCCCAAGUGGGAUUAGGUAGUUGGUGAGGUAAAGGCUCACCAAGCCGACGAUCUCUAGCUGGUCUGAGAGGAUGACCAGCCACACUGGGACUGAGACACGGCCCAG